UCGUAGGAGGUUAUACAGGCAAAUCCGUAUAACAAUACUCCGAGAACUGAAAGGCUUUUUGAAGUCUUCGGAUGGAUAGAAGAACCCCUGAUGCCGUCGAGCCAAGAAAAGUUUCUAAGUUUAGCUAAUGUUGCCCGUACCGUAAACCGACACAGGUGGGUGGGAUGAGUAUUCUAAGGCGCGUGGAAGAACUCUCUUUAAGGAACUCUGCAAAAUAGCACCGUAUCUUCGGUAUAAGGUGUGGUUAGCUUUGUAUUAGGAUUUACUCCGAAAGCAAGGAAACUUACAACAAAGAGUCCCUCCCGACUGUUUACCAAAAACACAGCACUCUGCUAACUCGUAAGAGGAUGUAUAGGGUGUGACGCCUGCCCGGUGCUCGAAGGUUAAUUGAUGGGGUUAGCAUUAGCGAAGCUCUUGAUCGAAGCCCGAGUAAACGGCGGCCGUAACUAUAACGGUCCUAAGGUAGCGAAAUUCCUUGUCGGUUAAAUACCGACCUGCAUGAAUGGCGUAACGAGAUGGGAGCUGUCUCAAAGAGGGAUCCAGUGAAAUUGUAGUGGAGGUGAAAAUUCCUCCUACCCGCGGCAAGACGGAAAGACCCCGUGGACCUUUACUACAGCUUGACACUGCUACUUGGAUAAGAAUGUGCAGGAUAGGUGGGAGGCUUUGAGUAUAUGACGCCAGUUGUAUAUGAGCCAUUGUUGAGAUACCACUCUUUCUUAUUUGGGUAGCUAACCAGCUUGAGUUAUCCUCAAGUGGGACAAUGUCUGGUGGGUAGUUUGACUGGGGCGGUCGCCUCCCAAAUAAUAACGGAGGCUUACAAAGGUUGGCUCAGAACGGUUGGAAAUCGUUCGUAGAGUAUAAAGGUAUAAGCCAGCUUAACUGCAAGACAUACAAGUCAAGCAGAGACGAAAGUCGGUCUUAGUGAUCCGGUGGUUCUGUGUGGAAGGGCCAUCGCUCAAAGGAUAAAAGGUACCCCGGGGAUAACAGGCUGAUCUCCCCCAAGAGCUCACAUCGACGGGGAGGUUUGGCACCUCGAUGUCGGCUCAUCGCAUCCUGGGGCUGGAGCAGGUCCCAAGGGUAUGGCUGUUCGCCAUUUAAAGCGGUACGCGAGCUGGGUUCAGAACGUCGUGAGACAGUUCGGUCCCUAUCUGCCGUGGGCGUAAGAAGAUUGAAGAGAUUUGACCCUAGUACGAGAGGACCGGGUUGAACAAACCACUGGUGUAGCUGUUGUUCUGCCAAGAGCAUCGCAGCGUAGCUAAGUUUGGAAAGGAUAAACGCUGAAAGCAUCUAAGCGUGAAGCCAACUCUAAGAUGAAUCUUCUCUAAGCUCUCUAGAAGACUACUAGUUUGAUAGGCUGGGUGUGUAAUGGAUGAAAGUCCUUUAGCUGACCAGUACUAAUAGAGCGUUUGGCUUAUCUUUAAUAAAGCAU
Molecule: ribosomal RNA, 1429 nt
Filed under: Campylobacter jejuni
Lineage: Bacteria; Pseudomonadati; Campylobacterota; Epsilonproteobacteria; Campylobacterales; Campylobacteraceae
Description: partial 23S ribosomal RNA
Rfam family: Bacterial large subunit ribosomal RNA
Source: RNAcentral